This is a small nuclear RNA of Zalophus californianus (California sea lion), 104 nucleotides long. Lineage: Eukaryota; Metazoa; Chordata; Mammalia; Carnivora; Otariidae. The record is from Ensembl.
AUGUUUACUUUGGCAGCACAUAUACUAAAAUUGGAAUGACACAGAGAUCAGCAUGGCCCCUGUGCAGGGAUGACAUGCAAAUUCAUGAGGCGUUCCAUAUUUAA